AAAAAAAAGUAUCAAGAGGAAUCAUAUCUGGUUCAUUGGAGUAUUGUGUUAAUUACUGGACUACAAUUUGAGAAUAUGAUCUAGUUCAGCUAGAGCAAAAUGCAGUUAGAUUUUGUAAAUGGCCAGACUUUGUAACUUUCUUGUCAAAAUUCAGUUAAAAUAUCACCAGAUUGUUAAAAUUCAGUUAAAUUAUCAACAGUUUGAGUUAACUGUCUAGUGCCAAACUCUUAGCAUUGCUCCUCCACUGAAUUUAGUUGUUGUCUACUGCCAAAAUUCAAUUAAAAUAUCAUGUCAUUUUGCAAAAACAUUUGUACCUUGUUUUUCAGACUAAAUGCAGUAGGUUAACUGAUCUGGUCCUGUGGCUGGUCAAAUUGUAUCAUGAGUAGUCAAAUUAUACCACUUUGGAAUUUUUCAUCUCACCAAUGAGUGUGUCUCCAAGGUUUUCUGCCACAAACAGAUGAUGCAAGCUUCCGGAUAUUUUUUUCAAAAAGAGGUACAGCAAACUUAAGGGUUCUUCCAUCCAUCUCAGCACUAUUUUAGCUAAUCCUGCAACAAAAAUGCUAAAACAUCCAUCAGUUUUAAUUUAGGUUCAGAGUAUACAACAACAACCAACAAACGUUCAGAGUAUACAACAACAACCAACAAACAACAACCAAGCCUUGUUUGUUGGUUGUUGUUGUAUACUCUGAACCUAAAUUAAAACUGAUGGAUGUUUUAGCAUUUGUGUUGCAGGAUUAGCUAAAAUAGUGCUGAGAUGGAUGUUUUAGCUAAAUUUAGGUUUAGAGUAUGCUAAAACAUAUUUUAGCGGGACAGCUUCAGUUCAGGUUCAUGCAAGAGGAUAGCUUUUAACCGAAAUUCGUUGGUGUAAUUUCAGUUAAUUGGAAAGAACAACUCUGCAAGUUAAUUGGAAAGAACAGGUAUUGCGGUUUCUUGUUCCUCAUAGUAAAUUUGUAGUACGCGCAUCAUGAAUCCUAAAUGUGAGAAUGCUUUGGAACAAAUUUAUGAGUUAUUUUUGCAACUCUAUACAAUAACAGGAGGACAUAAUUUAUAUGGAAAACUUCUCCUUCUAAGGCAGAUAUUAAUAUUCUUCAAUCCAUAGAAUAUUAUGAAAGGUCGCAUCAAAUACUAUCUGAGGCACAUCACAGGUGAAGUCGGCGAGUGUACGAUGUGUGCCAGGACUUGGACAAGUAUUGCUUUUGAUAUUAAUGGGAAAGACAAUGGAGGCUACUUUGCUCGACAAUACUAUCACGGUAGAUUUGGAAAUUGUAUACAACGGAGGCUACUUUGCUUGACAUAAACUUAUUGUUCAGGAUGCAUUCUGCAGGUUCCAUUACUGAUGUGGUGGCCUGGUUUGCGACAACAUACUGGUGGCAGCGAGCACCGAAAGAUAGAGAUGCACGUAAGGAAUUGUCUAUUAGUGGCAUCAAGCACCAGAAAAGAAGAUGCAAAAUAGGGUAGGGGAAAGAUAUGGCAGUGAAGAGAGUUGUUUGGUAUGUGCGUGUGUACGUGAUUGUUGGGUUGUUCUGUGUUGUAAGUGCAGUCGGAAUUUUUGGCCAACAUACUUGAAAGUAUAGUCUGUACACAUGUGAAUUAUAAUUUUGGCCACUGAA
This is a long non-coding RNA of Hordeum vulgare subsp. vulgare (domesticated barley), 1610 nucleotides long. RefSeq lists it as uncharacterized. Lineage: Eukaryota; Viridiplantae; Streptophyta; Magnoliopsida; Poales; Poaceae. The transcript has 3 exons. The record is from RefSeq and is a predicted model, not a curated record.